UAGGGAAUCUUCGGCAAUGGACGAAAGUCUGACCGAGCAACGCCGCGUGAGUGAAGAAGGUUUUCGGAUCGUAAAACUCUGUUGUUAGAUAAGAACAAGGACGUUAGUAACUGAACGUCCCCUGACGGUAUCUAACCAGAAAGCCACGGCUAACUACGUGCCAGCAGCCGCGGUAAUACGUAGGUGGCAAGCGUUGUCCGGAUUUAUUGGGCGUAAAGCGAGCGCAGGCGGUUUCUUAAGUCUGAUGUGAAAGCCCCCGGCUCAACCGGGGAGGGUCAUUAGAAACUGGGAGACUUGAGUGCAGAAGAGGAGAGUGGAAUUCCAUGUGUAGCGGUGAAGUGCGUAGAUAUAUGGAGGAACACCAGUGGCGAGGGCGGCUCUCUGGUCUGUAACUGACGCUGAGGCUCGAGAGCGUGGGGAGCAAACAGG
RNAcentral lists this ribosomal RNA (429 nucleotides) under Gemmatimonadota bacterium. RNAcentral describes it as "Gemmatimonadetes bacterium partial 16S ribosomal RNA". It matches the Rfam family "Bacterial small subunit ribosomal RNA", at positions 355 to 776 of the family's 1533-position model. Lineage: Bacteria; Pseudomonadati; Gemmatimonadota. The record is from RNAcentral.